This 497-nucleotide ribosomal RNA is filed under the name uncultured bacterium. RNAcentral's name for it is "partial 16S ribosomal RNA". It matches the Rfam family "Bacterial small subunit ribosomal RNA", at positions 28 to 507 of the family's 1533-position model. The record is from RNAcentral.
GAUGAACGCUGGCGGCGUGCCUAAUACAUGCAAGUCGAGCGAACGGACGAGAAGCUUGCUUUUCUGAUGUUAGCGGCGGACGGGUGAGUAACACGUGGAUAACCUACCUAUAAGACUGGGAUAACUUCGGGAAACCGGAGCUAAUACCGGAUAAUAUUUUGAACCGCAUGGUUCAAAAGUGAAAGACGGUCUUGCUGUCACUUAUAGAUGGAUCCGCGCUGCAUUAGCUAGUUGGUAAGGUAACGGCUUACCAAGGCAACGAUGCAUAGCCGACCUGAGAGGGUGAUCGGCCACACUGGAACUGAGACACGGUCCAGACUCCUACGGGAGGCAGCAGUGGGGAAUAUUGGACAAUGGGCGAAAGCCUGAUCCAGCCAUGCCGCGUGUGUGAAGAAGGUCUUCGGAUUGUAAAGCACUUUAAGUUGGGAGGAAGGGCAGUAAGUUAAUACCUUGCUGUUUUGACGUUACCAACAGAAUAAGCACCGGCUAACUUCGUG